Long non-coding RNA from Orbicella faveolata, 1512 nucleotides. The record is from RefSeq and is a predicted model, not a curated record. NCBI's taxonomy places the organism in Eukaryota, Metazoa, Cnidaria, Anthozoa, Scleractinia, Merulinidae.
GUCGAUUUGGAUGUUGCAUGCCCAGAGCCGUCUUAUGAGUGACGUUGAGCUAAUCACAGCUGGAGCAACCAAGGAGUUCAUAACAAGAAUGUUGAUCACAAAAAGAGGGUUGAAGAACCUUAAAGAUGCUAAGGACUGUCAGGUUGCUGGAGGAGCAAAAUAGCUGGCAGGGCUUCCAGUACAUUUGGUUAAUGAGGUCUUCUGCAAGUGUGGACCUGACAACUACAAAGUCUUGAGGAUUGUGAGGAAUGGGCAGGUUUUUUUCGGGCGGGAAUACACUCGGAUGAUCAAGAGAAAUGCCUCUGUGGUCUUGCUGUCAAAUGGGAUAGUGGGAGACAUUCAUUUCUUCAUUUGGAACAAGAUGUCAGGAAGAAUACUUGUGGUUUAUAAAGUAAUAGAGCCCAACCUGGACAACCCAUUCUUCUUUGAAGAUGCUGGUUGUCACAUUCUAUGAAUGAAGUCUCAAAGCAAUGACACUGAACUUCAACUGGCAGAAGUUGCUGAAAUUAAAGAAAAGGUGUUCUUUUUGGAAGGGAACUCUGACCAACCAUGCCUAGUACGCCUGCCAAAUUUCAAUGGAGUGUGUGGCUAAAGCAAUUGGAUACAUUACAAGCAUAUAAAUAUUUGGAUGGAGUACAGUGUAGUUUAAACAGUAAAAUCCCAACACAACAAGGGACAUAAUUACACUUGAAAAAUUCACGUUUCACUCAGAUGUUGAAGUUGUUAAAAUGAAUACAAUUUAAUUUUAUUACAGCUUGUACUACAUGUAUACCCCACAACUAUUGAUGUCAAAAUAUUGCACUAACAGUUAGUGCCUACAUGUAUUGUUCACAGUUCGAGUUGGUCAUCAUAGUAUAAUAACAUACUCUUGAAUUACAUUGGUUAUACUUUUAGUUCUUUUGGUAUUGGUUUGUUUUAGGCAUUUAACUGGGUUAUGUUUGGGGUAAUAUACUUAGUAAAGUUAUAUUAAGACUUCAGCAGUAACUGUACCAGGCUGUUCUGUUAAGUUUCUUAGGUAAUUGCUCUCUGUCAGUGACAUAAAAUUCUGAUUCUCAUAGAUUCCAAAGAAUUCCAAGUCCUCUCUUCAAGCUCAGAAGCCUUCAGAUUGAGCAUUCUCAGAAAUUCUCAGAAAUUCCCAACAAUUCCUAGAAAUUCCCAGUAAUUCUAAGUAGCAUCUUUACAAUUCCCAGAUAUUCCAAAUAAUUCCAAGGUUUUGCAUUUGCUCUAAUUUGCAUGUCUUGGAAAUUUUUGGAAUUCCUAGGAAUUCCUAGGAAUUCCAAGUUCACUGGGAAUUCAGUUCGCAAGGGUAGAGAGAGAAUAUUCCAGAUGUUGAUUGUUGAAUGUGAGAGAAAGUAAGAAUGUUCAGGAAGAUUUUUUACGUCAAUAGUUCAAGAUUGUACUUAGAGUGUGUAGUUAUACAGUCCUCAGACGGAAGGAAAUAAAGAUUCUGAAGUGCACAAAGGUGUGAAUUUCUACACAGUGGUGCUUUGAGUCCAAAAAUGGAACUUAAAG